GACGUGACUUCAGAGUUUGAUCCUGGCUCAGGAUGAACGCUGGCGGCGUGCUUAACACAUGCAAGUCGAACGGAGAUAUUUCGCUGAAGCGGAUUUAUCCAAUUCUUGAGAUAUCUUAGUGGCGGACGGGUGAGUAACGCGUGGGUAACCUGCCGUAUACAGGGGGAUAACACUUAGAAAUAGGUGCUAAUACCGCAUAAGCGCACGAGGUCGCAUGACCAUGUGUGAAAAACUCCGGUGGUAUACGAUGGACCCGCGUCUGAUUAGCUAGUUGGUGAGGUAAUGGCUCACCAAGGCGACGAUCAGUAGCCGGCCUGAGAGGGUGAACGGCCACAUUGGAACUGAGACACGGCCCAA
Molecule: ribosomal RNA, 357 nt
Filed under: uncultured bacterium
Lineage: Bacteria
Description: bacterial SSU rRNA
Rfam family: Bacterial small subunit ribosomal RNA
Source: RNAcentral